Molecule: long non-coding RNA, 988 nt
Filed under: Cyanistes caeruleus (blue tit)
Lineage: Eukaryota; Metazoa; Chordata; Aves; Passeriformes; Paridae
Description: lncRNA (ENSCCEG00000016093.1)
Source: RNAcentral
GGUUAAUCUGUCUCUGCUUGAAAUCUGGUUUUUUAGGUGAAAUCUGUUCUGUUGUAUCUAUUUAUCAUGUUUUUUUCUCAGACCUUUUCAGUUCAAAAAGCAGUGAAGAUUUUGAAACUUAUUUUACACUUUUAUAAUGGUUAAAUCACCAAAGAUAUUGUGCAAUAUAUAUAGAAUAAGUGAUCUUAGAAAGAACUGAUCUUAGAAUAUAUUUAUAGGUAAUAGGAUUUUAAAGAAUUUCUGAGGCAUUUUGGAGGAGAUAUAUAUAUAUAUAUAUAUACAAAGGUACCAUCUAAAACGGUUUUGAGAAAUUUGAUAAUUUUUUUUUCAUUAGUGUGAAUUAUUCCAAACUACACAAAAGGACUAGAUGAAGUCUGCUUAGGCAUUCAUUAAAAUUACUGCAUCACACAUACCAACUGAAAUGAUUGAAACCUUUCAAAGCUCAUGCUUACAGUAAGUGGAGAAAACACACAUUAUUAUCUAUCUUCUGCACGGGACAUGAAGACAUGAAAAUCAAGGUUAAAUUCAUUAGAAUGAACUUAAUUCCUGAAAAAAGUUAAUAAAUUAAUUAGGUAAGGGGGAGAAGUAUGGCUAAGACUGGAAUACGCUGUUUUUGAGCAUGUGUAACUUCAAGCUAAAGAAUGCUUCGUUAAGAAUAAACAUCUUUCCCCUCUGUCGAAUACCUCUUUUUUUUUCAGUUUUUGUCAUGAUCUUCACUCAUGGUGAUGCUAAAGAAAAGAACAAAUGAUCACACCGACUGUUAUUCAAAUGUAUAAUAUAGCAUCGUCUUCAACACAGCAUCAUGCCAAGAUCCCCCAAUUCUUGCCAUAACGAACUCUUGUAUACACUUCCUGAAUGAAAUCUGAGGUAAGGUCUUUCUAAUCUAUCUAUACAAAUAAGAAACGUCUUUCAGGGCUCAGCUGCCAUCCUAAUUUUCAGCUGUAAUUAUGUCAACAUUCUUUUAUCUCUGAGCAAAGCAAAAUGUUAC